UCUCCCAUUCCAAUUCAUUUCAAUUAACCACGUUCGCUCUUGAUGUAAAUGAGAGAUGCAAUCACACAAACCAAAAAAGGUAACCUUCAGGGCAAGCACUUGCACAUAAGGGUGCUUGAAGGCAUAGAAAGAAAAGGAAGAAUCAUUAGGCACCAAGCAAUACAAGUACAUCAGUUGACGUUUUGAUCAAAUUUCCAAUAAGAGCAAGAAGCCAUCGGACAGUAUAAAGCAGCAAAAGCUUUUUCCAAGCAUGAUAUUAGCAACUCAACUACGAGAAAUUCCAAGCAUUAACUUCCGACCACAAUCAGCCACCCAAGGUCGCAUCCAUCAACUUCGUAGACAAGGAUCUGGUUCAAAAGUAGCCCGUGAUUCCGCACUUUACACGAUCAUCGCCAAGGAAGGCUUCAGGAAGACUAUUUAGGGUACAAGAAACAAUGUCCAGAGAGAGCUAGUUGCAACUCAUACUGAAGCAGGUUUCAAUAAUUCAGGAAGACUAUUUAGGGUACAAGAAACAAUGUCCAGAGAGAGCUAGUUGCAACUCAUACUGAAGCAGGAGAAACCUUUGAACAAAUGGCAUUCUGAUCGACUUCAUGCAGGACAAACAUCACAGGAAUGAUAC
RNAcentral lists this long non-coding RNA (619 nucleotides) under Elaeis guineensis (African oil palm). RNAcentral describes it as "long non-coding RNA (EGUI_LNC032806)". Lineage: Eukaryota; Viridiplantae; Streptophyta; Magnoliopsida; Arecales; Arecaceae. The record is from RNAcentral.